This 496-nucleotide ribosomal RNA is filed under the name uncultured bacterium. RNAcentral describes it as "partial 16S ribosomal RNA". It matches the Rfam family "Bacterial small subunit ribosomal RNA", at positions 29 to 506 of the family's 1533-position model. The record is from RNAcentral.
ACGAACGCUGGCGGCGUGCCUAAUCCCUGCAAGUCGAGCGGACGAAUCGAAAGCUUGCUUUUGAUUCGUUAGCGGCGGACGGGUGAGUAACACGUGGGCAACCUGCCCUGUAGACGGGGAUAACACCGAGAAAUCGGUGCUAAUACCGGAUAACACGAAAUGUCGCAUGACGUUUCGUUGAAAGACGGCGCAAGCUGUCGCUACAGGAUGGGCCCGCGGCGCAUUAGCUAGUUGGUGAGGUAACGGCUCACCAAGGCGACGAUGCGUAGCCGACCUGAGAGGGUGAUCGGCCACACUGGGACUGAGACACGGCCCAGACUCCUACGGGAGGCAGCAGUAGGGAAUCUUCCGCAAUGGACGAAAGUCUGACGGAGCAACGCCGCGUGAGCGAAGAAGGCCUUCGGGUCGUAAAGCUCUGUUGUUAGGGAAGAACAAGUAACGCAGUAACUGGCGUUACCGUGACGGUACCUAACGAGAAAGCCACGGCUAACUACGU